Transfer RNA from Aspergillus brasiliensis CBS 101740, 85 nucleotides. It matches the Rfam family "tRNA". From Rfam's summary of the family: Transfer RNA (tRNA) molecules are approximately 80 nucleotides in length. Their secondary structure includes four short double-helical elements and three loops (D, anti-codon, and T loops). Further hydrogen bonds mediate the characteristic L-shaped molecular structure. tRNAs have two regions of fundamental functional importance: the anti-codon, which is responsible for specific mRNA codon recognition, and the 3' end, to which the tRNAs corresponding amino acid is attached (by aminoacyl-tRNA synthetases). tRNAs cope with the degeneracy of the genetic code in two manners: having more than one tRNA (with a specific anti-codon) for a particular amino acid; and 'wobble' base-pairing, i.e. permitting non-standard base-pairing at the 3rd anti-codon position. The record is from Rfam. Lineage: Eukaryota; Fungi; Ascomycota; Eurotiomycetes; Eurotiales; Aspergillaceae.
GCCCUUAUAGCUCAGUGGUAGAGCGCUUGACUUGUACUCCUCUACGGUUAUCAAGAGGUCCGUGGUUCAAUCCCGCGUGGGGGCA